RNAcentral lists this signal recognition particle RNA (345 nucleotides) under Gorilla gorilla gorilla (western lowland gorilla). RNAcentral describes it as "Metazoan signal recognition particle RNA". It matches the Rfam family "Metazoan signal recognition particle RNA". From Rfam's summary of the family: The signal recognition particle (SRP) is a universally conserved ribonucleoprotein. It is involved in the co-translational targeting of proteins to membranes. Lineage: Eukaryota; Metazoa; Chordata; Mammalia; Primates; Hominidae. The record is from Rfam by way of RNAcentral.
ACCGGGCAUGGUGGUGUGCACCUGUAGUCCCAACUACUUGAGAGGCUGAGGUAGAAGGAUUGCUUUAGUCCAGGAGCUCUCAGCUGUAGUGCACCAUGCCGGUCAGGUGUCCACGCUAAAUUAAGUAUCAAUAUGGUGACCUCCCAGGAGCAGGGGACCACAAGGUUGCCUAAGGAGGGGUGAACCAGCCAAGUGAGAAACAGAGUAGGUCCAAACUACCAUUUGUAGGCCGGGCAUGGUAGCUCAUGCCUGUAAUCCCAGCACUUUGGGAGGCCAAGGUGGGCAGAUCACCUGAGGUCAGGAGUUCAAGACCAGCCUGGCCAAUAUGGCGAAACCACAUCUCUA